Molecule: ribosomal RNA, 1168 nt
Filed under: Salmonella enterica subsp. enterica serovar Paratyphi B var. L(+) tartrate +
Lineage: Bacteria; Pseudomonadati; Pseudomonadota; Gammaproteobacteria; Enterobacterales; Enterobacteriaceae
Description: partial 23S ribosomal RNA
Rfam family: Bacterial large subunit ribosomal RNA
Source: RNAcentral
CCCGUACACAAAAGCGCAUGUGUUGUGAGCUCGAUGAGUAGGGCGGGACACGUGGUAUCCUGUCUGAAUAUGGGGGGACCAUCCUCCAAGGCUAAAUACUCCUGACUGACCGAUAGUGAACCAGUACCGUGAGGGAAAGGCGAAAAGAACCCCGGCGAGGGGAGUGAAAAAGAACCUGAAACCGUGUACGUACAAGCAGUGGGAGCACCCUUUGGGGUGUGACUGCGUACCUUUUGUAUAAUGGGUCAGCGACUUAUAUUCUGUAGCAAGGUUAACCGAAUAGGGGAGCCGGAGGGAAACCGAGUCUUAACCGGGCGUUAAGUUGCAGGGUAUAGACCCGAAACCCGGUGAUCUAGCCAUGGGCAGGUUGAAGGUUGGGUAACACUAACUGGAGGACCGAACCGACUAAUGUUGAAAAAUUAGCGGAUGACCUGUGGCUGGGGGUGAAAGGCCAAUCAAACCGGGAGAUAGCUGGUUCUCCCCGAAAGCUAUUUAGGUAGCGCCUCGUGAAUUCAUCUCCGGGGGUAGAGCACUGUUUCGGCUAGGGGGCCAUCCCGGCUUACCAACCCGAUGCAAACUGCGAAUACCGGAGAAUGUUAUCACGGGAGACACACGGCGGGUGCUAACGUCCGUCGUGAAGAGGGAAACAACCCAGACCGCCAGCUAAGGUCCCAAAGUCAUGGUUAAGUGGGAAACGAUGUGGGAAGGCCCAGACAGCCAGGAUGUUGGCUUAGAAGCAGCCAUCAUUUAAAGAAAGCGUAAUAGCUCACUGGUCGAGUCGGCCUGCGCGGAAGAUGUAACGGGGCUAAACCAUGCACCGAAGCUGCGGCAGCGACACUGUGUGUUGUUGGGUAGGGGAGCGUUCUGUAAGCCUGUGAAGGUGUGUCGUGAGGCAUGCUGGAGGUAUCAGAAGUGCGAAUGCUGACAUAAGUAACGAUAAAGCGGGUGAAAAGCCCGCUCGCCGGAAGACCAAGGGUUCCUGUCCAACGUUAAUCGGGGCAGGGUGAGUCGACCCCUAAGGCGAGGCCGAAAGGCGUAGUCGAUGGGAAACGGGUUAAUAUUCCCGUACUUGGUGUUACUGCGAAGGGGGGACGGAGAAGGCUAUGUUGGCCGGGCGACGGUUGUCCCGGUUUAAGCGUGUAGGUGUGUGUUCCAGGUAAAUCCGGUU